Molecule: long non-coding RNA, 1005 nt
Filed under: Heterocephalus glaber (naked mole-rat)
Lineage: Eukaryota; Metazoa; Chordata; Mammalia; Rodentia; Bathyergidae
Description: lncRNA (ENSHGLG00100047837.1)
Source: RNAcentral
CUCUCCUCUUCCUGCAACCUCUUCUCCUCUUUCCUUCCUCCUCUCUUUGGAAUUAAGUGUGCAAAAGGUGUAUUGGUGUCUAAUAUUGUGAACGGAAAAGAAAGGGAAGGAUGGAGGGGGGAUCCUUGAGACUCAAGCAGAGCUGAUUGUCUCCUCUGCAUCUUCUCAGGAGCUCACAGGCUUCCUGCUCAUUGUACUCAAGGGAGAGCAGGAAAGAGCAGGGUGCUGUCUGUCUGUCUGUGGUUGAUCUGAGGGUCUAGUGCUGAGGGAGAGAAACUUGUCACAGAGCCUGGCACUUUCCAGAAGAAUUCCCUUAAAUCCCUGCCCCCAACUCCAACUCUAACUUCAGCCAGAGAGAGAGGAGAGAGAGAGAGGACAGAGAGAGGAGAGAGAGAGAGCCUGUUCUGGAGUCGCAUUUCCAGACUGACCUCUGCCUUUUCCACACACAUUCUGGCACUCACCUGCGGCAGUCAGGCUUUGAGCCAGGCUCGGGAGACUCCACUUCGUAGCCUCACAUUCAGCCCUACACCCCGUGGGCCUUGGGCCAGGCAACCAGAGUCACUUUCCAGGCACUGGGGGAGGCUGCACAAUAAGGAAGAGCUAAACAGGCUGAGGAAGCUGAGACAUAGAGAAGACAACAAAUUUUCUGGAGUUCUCACAGUUGGGCUAUGGAAGAAGAAAGAAUUCAAAACCAGAUUGGGUGGCUCCAGAGUUCUGAAUUGAUCUCCCUAGGAGAAUUUUAUCCCUCUUCAUCCUUCUUGGACACUACAGUCAAGAAGGACUGACCACCCUGCUACAAUAGAUUGGAGAAUCCCUCAGAUCAGCAGGCCUGAGUAAAACCUCACUGCCAUCAAAGCACCAAAAAUGUGGGCAAAGAUAGCUUGGACUCUACCAGACCAUCUGCCAGCUGACACCAUUGAGUAACAUCCAUUGAUAUUGUGAGGAAGAAAUAAAUCAUCCAGCAGAUCUUGCCCCAAGUGCCCAACCCACAAAAUUGGGCAGGGG